This 850-nucleotide long non-coding RNA is filed under the name Gossypium barbadense (sea-island cotton). RNAcentral's name for it is "long non-coding RNA (GBAR_LNC002855)". Lineage: Eukaryota; Viridiplantae; Streptophyta; Magnoliopsida; Malvales; Malvaceae. The record is from RNAcentral.
UUUGUAAGUUUGUGUGAAACAAAUAUAUUGACGUCAGCAUCACACAUUUGAUAAUAUAUUGAAUAAACUUUUCAAAUGUUCAGACAACAUUAAAAAUUUUCAUUGUGUAUGUAGAAGCCCAAAUUAGCCCGGGCCUUUUACAAAAAUUAAGAUCCACUACCCAAACCCAAAAUUAAAAAAAACCCUAGCCCACAACCUAAACUUUUUCUCAACUAAACCCUAACCCCACUUUCUAGCCACCCUCUCCCCACUUGCCUCUAACAACUCAGCACCAUCCCCUGGCCACCCCCAUACCGUCUGCCACCACCAUGCCUCUGCCACACCUGCAAACAAGCAAAGGAAAAGGAUAAAAAAAUGGAGCAAUAAACAGUAACAGAAUAUUGUAUUUUUGGCUAUAAAAGCCACAAGCAAAACGGAAUGUGGGGGUUUUUUUUAUUUUUUAAGAAAGAUUGUAACACAGAUAUUAGAAAUCAAAACGGAUACAAAAACAAAAAAGGAGAAUCAAAGUUCAAGAGGUUUAGUUUUGUUCUUUUUUUUUCCUUUUUUUUGUUCUCUACUUACCUUGUUUUUUUUUUCAUAUUUAUUCAUGGUUUUUUUCCCUUUCUUUUUUCAAGAAAACCUUUUUUUUUUUACAAAGAAACAAAAAAAAAUUUUAAAGUAGGCGUACCUAGGUUCCGCUCCUUCGCUGUACACGGCGAUCACCACCGUCGUCGGUGGCGAUGGGGCGGGUCUCUGAGUAACCCAAUCGACGGAAAGAAAAAGGGGGAGGGGAAGAGAGCAUAGAAGCUUUUUGUUCUUUUUUUUAGAUUGGGGGUUGAAAAUGAAACACAAAAAAAAAUCUUUGUUUUUA